Molecule: small nuclear RNA, 202 nt
Filed under: Zalophus californianus (California sea lion)
Lineage: Eukaryota; Metazoa; Chordata; Mammalia; Carnivora; Otariidae
Description: U4 spliceosomal RNA (ENSZCAG00015003909.1)
Rfam family: U4 spliceosomal RNA (bases 1-65)
Source: RNAcentral
AGCUUUGUGCAGUGGCAGUAUCGUAGCCUGAGGUUUAUCCGAGGUGCGAUUAUUGCUAACUAAAUGGGGAAGAAAAAGGCACAUUAGGUCUUAGUGUUAUGAAAAUAGUUUUGAUCCAAAAGUGCUUCAGAAAUCCCAGGCAUCGAUGGACCACAAUUUGAGAAUCACUGCUUUAGGAUAUAUGUGGAAAAUAAAUUGUUGG